AUCAGCCUUUCGUGUGCGAUUCUGUGGAGUUUGAGGAGCUUAACACCUUCAUGCUUUGCAUAUUCGUGCUCUUGGGUGUACUUGCCCGUGUGGUUGGUUAACAUCAAUUUCGGGCACCAAAAAAUGGCUGGAGGAAUGUAGCUUUGAUCUUGUAUUGAAGUGUUAUAGCCUUCGGUAGAUGUGGUGAUCGAGAUUGAGGAUUGCAACGGAUACCUUUCGGGGCUACCUGUCUGAUCUCUGAUCGUUGCUUUGGUGCUGAAAGCGUGCUUAUAGUUAUCAAAGUCGAUGGUCAAUAGGUUAGAAUGGGUUAAAUUCGUUAAGGAUGUUGACGUAAUGGCUUU
This 341-nucleotide ribosomal RNA is filed under the name uncultured Glomeromycotina. Its description in RNAcentral is "eukaryotic LSU rRNA". The record is from RNAcentral. Lineage: Eukaryota; Fungi; Glomeromycota.